RNAcentral lists this long non-coding RNA (1644 nucleotides) under Chrysemys picta bellii (western painted turtle). RNAcentral's name for it is "lncRNA (ENSCPBG00000001537.1)". The record is from RNAcentral. Lineage: Eukaryota; Metazoa; Chordata; Testudines; Emydidae.
CGCAUCUCUGGGCGCUGCCUACGCUGCAGGCGGCGUCUCUGCGGAGGAUGAUGCCGAAGGCUCCGGCUGUGCCGCUGGGGAGCGCAGCGGGGAGGGCCUGGAUGGAGAAGGGCCUGGCUGGACGCGUGGGGGCCGAGGAGCCCGAGAGGAACGGCUACGAGGAGCCGGUUCCCCUGACAGGAGCCGGCACAGUCGAGCUGCUGGUGCCACACCCGGGGCCGCCUCUGGUCACAGCCAAGGCCAGGGACCGUCUGGAGAGCCACAUGCUGAGGAAGAAGCUCCAGCGCAAGUGGGGCUUACCGCGCGUGGUGCAGAGAUCCCUGGGCGCGUUCACACCCCUGCCACCUGGGAGGGGGCCCCCGAGGUGGGGCCAGGCCCCAGCCAGAGAGAGCGUCGCCACGGGCAGCCUGCACUUCCUGCGCACGGAAACCAGGGAGCGCCUGGAGUCGCACGUGAGGAAACUGGCCCUGGAGCGGAGAUGGGGCCUGCCCAAGAGGAUCCUGGAGACCUUACGGAUGUUCCUGCCACCUGCCCCACCAGGAGCAGAGCCCAGAGGCCAAACCCAGCCCCUGCUCCAUGUCUGCCAUACACCCCACCAAGGUCCUACAGCCCUCUCCACGGGGCAAUCGGGAGAGCUCCAGCCAGGCCCCGGGGAGCCCCUCACCCACCGGUCCCAGCACUGGCAUGAAAUGGGGGUAAAGGAGGGUAAAGCCAGCUGCCCCGAGGCAGUGCCCCAACAUGUCAUGGGGAGCAGCAGCAGGAGAAGCCAGGAGACCUCCCAGACGAGUGAUGGGGAAGGGGCCCCUGGCUCCCCACACCACUUCCCAGAGGACAAGGCAGAGCUGAAAUCCACCCUGGACUUCCCCGGGAAGAAGGUGCUGGGAAUUUCCGACCGGGCCCAGGGGUUCCAGAGACUGGCCUUUCGCCCGGCAGCCCACGAGCCUCACCCACAGCAGAGAGAGCAGAGCUCUGAGGAAAGUCCCGGGCAGUGGAGCACCCACGAUGGUGAAGGAGCUCCACGGCUGGUGGGGACCGGCAGGCGCUCCCGGAGCUCGUCUGUGGAGACAGCCGUUUGGAGUGAGAAGAGGAUCUCACGGGAGCUGGAAUCCAGCUUCAGGAGAAUGGUCCGGAGCCGCAGCCGCCAUGGCCCAGGGGGGAAGCAGCCUCUGUCUCUGGAAAUCGUGGGCGACCUGGAAAUGGACCAUUGCACAUGCUUGCACUGCCCGUGCAGCAAGCUAGAGGGGUGGGACGGCGCCCGCUCUCUGGGAACCAGCUCUCCGGUGUGGCAGACACAGUGUAUCCGUGUAAGGGGGUCAGCAACUCUCCUAGGAGACGCGGCAGAUCCAAACCCUCUGCAUGCUGAGCCUGGAUGGCAGGGGCAGGGCGCUCCCAGCGUGGCCAAAGAUGAACCACCUGUCUCCUCUCCGUCGUCUCUGGAGGGCAGCGAGUUCAGGGCCUCCGACUGGUCUGCUGGAGAAAGCGCUCGCGCAGCCUCUCGCCCAGCGCCCGAGGGGCCCUCGCUGGCACGGGAGCAUCUUGCUUCUCCGUGGGCCGUGGCACACCGGCUGGACAUCCACCUGGCGCAGAAGGCCCUGGGCUCCUUCAUCCUGCCGCCCUGCGUCAUACACUCCCAGGCCGUCUAUG